This 72-nucleotide transfer RNA is filed under the name Heterocephalus glaber (naked mole-rat). It matches the Rfam family "tRNA". Rfam says of the family: Transfer RNA (tRNA) molecules are approximately 80 nucleotides in length. Their secondary structure includes four short double-helical elements and three loops (D, anti-codon, and T loops). Further hydrogen bonds mediate the characteristic L-shaped molecular structure. tRNAs have two regions of fundamental functional importance: the anti-codon, which is responsible for specific mRNA codon recognition, and the 3' end, to which the tRNAs corresponding amino acid is attached (by aminoacyl-tRNA synthetases). tRNAs cope with the degeneracy of the genetic code in two manners: having more than one tRNA (with a specific anti-codon) for a particular amino acid; and 'wobble' base-pairing, i.e. permitting non-standard base-pairing at the 3rd anti-codon position. The record is from Rfam by way of RNAcentral. Lineage: Eukaryota; Metazoa; Chordata; Mammalia; Rodentia; Bathyergidae.
GGAGAUGUGGCUUGGGGCUAGAGCAUGUGCUUUGCAUGCACAAGGCCCUGAGUUCAAUCCCCAGCACCGCAA